AUUGCAGUAAACCAGUUUAUACUUAUAUCGUUCUUUGAUUUCUCUUAAAAAAUUUAACACAGGCUACAGAGAUUAAGUUGGCUAUUUCAAAAAAUAACUUUGGGAUAUAUGCUUAACAUUUUACCUUUCCUGUGCUUACAGAAUGCUUUUGGCUCAAAAGGGCCUUUCUAUUUUUGUAUUUAUCCUUUAUAGGGUAGAAUUCUUACUUUGUGUAAGAUCGAUAAUUCUUACUUUGUGUAAGAUACUAUCGAUAAGCUUUGUUCCUCCACAAGAGCCAUGAAGGCAGAUAUUCUGUCCUUUCUAAUCUUUGUGCAGCUGGCAGAAGAAAAGGUCGUGUGAUCCCACUGUGUCCCAACCUAAGAUUUUCUGCCCCUGCUUUCUCACACUAAUAGGUAACAUUUAUACACCAUUGUAAUUUUUAUUUUUAAUUGGUUUGUUUUCAAUUUUAACAGAGGAUUUCACCAGUGCAAAGUGCAUUUCAUUUUUGAUGAGCAGGGAAAAUAUAACCCUUUGACAAGCACCCAGGAAUAUUCUGUGAAAAAGACUAAGAUAUCAGAGAAAUUAUUAGUGCACAUUAUUAGAAGAGAGCUUCAGAUGAAAAUAAAGGGAAUGAGGAUGCUACUGACAUCUAGUAGGCAGAGGUCAGGGAUGCUGGCAAACUUCCUACAAUGCACAGGACUGCCUGGAAUAAUAAAGAAGGAUACAGCCCUAAAUUGUCAACAAUGCACAUCUUGAGAAAAAUGUUCCAAAGUAAAAGCUGAGUGAUUGUUCAUCAGCUAAAUAAAUGAUUUGCUACAGCCCUUGCAUUACUGGCUUUCUGCCCAUCAGUAUUACCUCAAGAUGAUUUAAAGCAAAGGCUUUCUGGUUAAAAUGUGAUGAAGGCUAAAAUCAAAAUGGCAAAGAGCCGGGGAGCACUUCAGGUGGAACGUAAGUUCACUUAUGAGGUAAAGCACUCAUGUAAGGUGAGUGGCCAUACCCUGGUGUUCAACUCAGCUUGAAUUUUAGCU
RNAcentral lists this long non-coding RNA (1007 nucleotides) under Homo sapiens (human). RNAcentral describes it as "HSALNT0334880". The record is from RNAcentral. Lineage: Eukaryota; Metazoa; Chordata; Mammalia; Primates; Hominidae.